RNAcentral lists this long non-coding RNA (674 nucleotides) under Theobroma cacao (cacao). Its description in RNAcentral is "long non-coding RNA (TCAC_LNC006297)". The record is from RNAcentral. Lineage: Eukaryota; Viridiplantae; Streptophyta; Magnoliopsida; Malvales; Malvaceae.
CAAAAGCAUCUAAAGCCGAGUAGAUGGAGGCAAUAUAAAAACAUUAUAUCUCAAUAAUGUUCAUAACGCAAAAUUUGUUUCAAUCUAUACCAACAAUUUAUUUUCAUCAAAAUUUCCCAGCUUAUGAAUUUCUUAAACUUGGCCCCUUCCAGAAUCAUUCUCGCGGGUACCUUCGUCAAGGUAUCCCACUGAGACCGCCAAGGCUGUUAAAUAUCCCAUACCCAUAAACAUGUUUUCACAUCUGACACACAGUCGUUCCUUGGCGUUAGCUGAGUCUCACUCUCACGUGGUGGCCCGAACGUGAGGUGCACUCAAAUCAUACCUCAGGAGAUACUUCACCCAACAUCUCCCCCCGGAGGUAAGUAUAUAAUUGAGUUAUCGUGCCCCUCUCAUAGGCAGUCCACGGAAACCCCCACCACUGCAGUGAUCGUUUAAUAUACCACCAGACCCAUAAAAUUUCCAGUAGCAUAAUAUGUCGAAUAAAAUUUAAUCUAGUCUACCGAGACCAAUCCAAAACUAUUCAUAUAUUUCAUGCCAAUCCCAAAAAUUUAGCCAUCAUGCUACCAUAGUGUCAUAAGCCAUAAUUUCAAUAACAUAUAAAAUCGUAAAUUCAACACAGUCUCCAUAUACUCAAUUUUCCCAAAACAAUAUUUGAUUUCAAAACUAGUAUAAAU